UACGUAGGGGGCAAGCGUUGUCCGGAAUCAUUGGGCGUAAAGCGCGUGUAGGCGGCCCGGUAAGUCCGCUGUGAAAGUCGGGGGCUCAACCCUCGAAUGCCGGUGGAUACUGUCGGGCUAGAGUGCGGAAGAGGCGAGUGGAAUUCCUGGUGUAGCGGUGAAAUGCGCAGAUAUCAGGAGGAACACCAAUGGCGAAGGCAGCUCGCUGGGACGUUACUGACGCUGAGACGCGAAAGCGUGGGGAGCAAACAGG
RNAcentral lists this ribosomal RNA (253 nucleotides) under uncultured bacterium. RNAcentral describes it as "partial 16S ribosomal RNA". It matches the Rfam family "Bacterial small subunit ribosomal RNA", at positions 524 to 776 of the family's 1533-position model. The record is from RNAcentral.